RNAcentral lists this transfer RNA (69 nucleotides) under Pharyngocirrus uchidai. RNAcentral describes it as "tRNA-Gln". It matches the Rfam family "tRNA". Rfam says of the family: Transfer RNA (tRNA) molecules are approximately 80 nucleotides in length. The record is from RNAcentral. Lineage: Eukaryota; Metazoa; Annelida; Polychaeta; Saccocirridae.
UAUAAGGUGGUGUAUGGCGCACAUAAGUUUUUGAUUCUUAAAGAUAAAGUUUAAUCCUUUACCCUAUAA